UGUGAAAUUCAAUUUAAUUUGAUAUUAAAAUUUUUAUUAAAUUUUUAAUAUAAUUUUUUUUUAAUAAAAAAAUUUUAAUGUUUAAUUAUUUUUAAAGAAAAAAUUUAUUUUAUGAUAGUUUAUAGUAUAGUGAUAGAAUAAAUAAAAUUUUUUAAAGAAAAUUUUAUUAAUUGUACCUUGUGUAUCAGGGUUUAUUAAAAUUAUUAAAAAUUUUUAAUUUCUCGAAUUUUAAAGAGUUAAAUUUAUAUAUAUAUUAUUGUAAAAAAAAUAUUUUUAAUAUAAAUUUAGUAAUGAAAUGUUAAUCGUUUUAAAAUAUAUCUAGUUUUUAAAGAAAUAAAUUUAAUUUAAUAAUUUUUAAUUAAAAUUUUAUUUUUUAAAAUUUUAUUGAAAAUUGUAAGUAUUUAAAGGGAUAAGCUUUUAAUUAAAAUUUUAAAAAUUUUUUAAAGAUUAUAAAUUAUAGGAUUAGAAUUUUCUAUUUAUAAAAAAAUGUUAUAAUUAAUUAUAUUAUUAAUAAUAUUUAUAAAAAUUUUAAAUUUUUUAUUUAAAUAUUUAUUUAAAUUUUUUAAGUAAAGUAAUAAUGAUAAAAUUAGUAUAUUAAUUAUAAUUUAUUUAAAUAAAUUAUUAUUAUAAAAUAAAAUUAAGGAAUUCGGCAAAUUUAUUUUUCACCUGUUUAUUAAAAACAUGGCUUUUUGAUAAUAAUUUAAAGUCUGACCUGCCCAAUGAUAAGUUUAAUGGCCGCAGUAUAUUGACUGUGCAAAGGUAGCAUAAUCAUUAGUUUUUUAAUUGAAAGCUAGAAUGAAUGGUUUGAUGAAAAAAUAACUGUCUAUAUUUUAAUUUAAUAAAAUUUUAUUUUUAAGUUAAAAAGCUUAAAUAAUUUAAAAAGACGAGAAGACCCUAUAGAUCUUAAUUUUUAAAAAAUUAUUAAUAUUUAGAGUUGAAUAAUAAAAAUUUAGAAAAAAUUUUAUUGGGGUGAUAUUAAAAUUAAUGAAACUUUUAUUUUUUAAUAAUAUUGAAUAAAUAGUAAUUUGAUCCUAAGUUUUAGAUUAAAAGAAAAAGUUACCUUAGGGAUAACAGCGUAAUUUUUUUUAAGAGUUCUUAUCGAAAAAAAAGAUUGCGACCUCGAUGUUGGAUUAAAGUUAAAUUUUGGUGUAGAAGUUAAAAUUUUAAGUCUGUUCGACUUUUAAAACUUUACAUGAUCUGAGUUUAAACCGGUGUAAGCCAGGUUGGUUUCUAUCUUUUAAUAAAAUAAUAUUUUAGUACGAAAGGACCAAAUAUUAAAAUUAUAUUUUUUUUAUAGAAUAAAAUUAAAUUAUUUUGGCAGAUUAGUGCGAUAGAUUUAGAAUCUUUUUAAGUAAGAAAUUUACAAA
This 1367-nucleotide ribosomal RNA is filed under the name Vincenzellus ruficollis. RNAcentral describes it as "16S ribosomal RNA". The stretch from base 1067 to 1225 matches the Rfam family "Archaeal large subunit ribosomal RNA", at positions 2544 to 2703 of the family's 2987-position model. The record is from RNAcentral. Lineage: Eukaryota; Metazoa; Arthropoda; Insecta; Coleoptera; Salpingidae.